UUACGGCCAUAUCACGUUCAAACAUCGGUUCCCGUACGAUCACCGAAAUUAAGCAACGUCGAGCCUUGUCAGUACCUAGAUGGGUUACCGUUUGCGAAUACCAAGUGUUGUAAG
This 114-nucleotide ribosomal RNA is filed under the name Acanthosepion pharaonis. Lineage: Eukaryota; Metazoa; Mollusca; Cephalopoda; Sepiida; Sepiidae. The record is from RNAcentral.